This 71-nucleotide transfer RNA is filed under the name Coemansia sp. S146. RNAcentral's name for it is "tRNA-Glu". It matches the Rfam family "tRNA". From Rfam's summary of the family: Transfer RNA (tRNA) molecules are approximately 80 nucleotides in length. Their secondary structure includes four short double-helical elements and three loops (D, anti-codon, and T loops). The record is from RNAcentral. Lineage: Eukaryota; Fungi; Kickxellomycota; Kickxellomycetes; Kickxellales; Kickxellaceae.
UCCACAAUGGUCCAGUGGCAGGAUAUCAAGUUUUCGCCUUGAGGGUCGGGGUUCAAUUCCCCGUUGUGGAA